This is a long non-coding RNA of Mauremys mutica (yellowpond turtle), 667 nucleotides long. RefSeq lists it as uncharacterized. NCBI's taxonomy places the organism in Eukaryota, Metazoa, Chordata, Testudines, Geoemydidae. The transcript is spliced from 5 exons. The record is from RefSeq and is a predicted model, not a curated record.
GUCUGGGCUGAAAAGUAACAUGCUGGUGGGGCUGUCUCCUCACCAUCCCUAGCACGUACAACAGCUUCUUCCACAAGUCUGAGAGUAAGAGGAACACUGUACCAGAAGAAGAGGAAGCAAAAUAAUAUUACCCAGCCUGGAUAAACAAAGAGCAGUGAUCUGGCUGGAGGACGAGGCCAUAGAAAAUGACAGAUCACCGUGGAACCAGAACGGGUAAAGGGGGCAUUAAACUGGAAAAGCAUCCGCAACCCCACACCUGAACGUGCUCUGAAGCGGGAGAUCGGCAGUGGAUCAAGGGUGACAAGUCUUCAGUUCAUCCUCCAGCCCAUAAAAGGAAACAACUCACUCCUAGAGUCCAAACUUCUUCCAGUGGCUUGGAAGCAGUGACACCGUUACAGGGACAAAUCUGUUCACCACACCUCCACUUCUACUCUGACCCAGGAAAGAUGGACAGCCGUUUGUGGUGAAUCUCAGGCAAUCAGCUGGAGUGUCUUUUGGGAAGAAGAAAGGAAAGUGGGUCAGAGUCCUAUGUUUCUCACUAACUUUUUUUUUUUUUGGAAGGGGGCAGUGUUUGCAUGACAGUACAGAUUUGUGGGAGGCCAUAUUUUAACCUGAGACAGCAGCAAACCAGGGACCUCCAGAGCCAAAUACAUCGUCUAAACUGUAG